UAGGGAAUCUUCCACAAUGGACGCAAGUCUGAUGGAGCAACGCCGCGUGAGUGAAGAAGGUUUUCGGACCGUAAAGCUCUGUUGUUGGUGAAGAAGGAUAGAGGUAGUAACUGGCCUUUAUUUGACGGUAAUCAACCAGAAAGUCACGGCUAACUACGUGCCAGCAGCCGCGGUAAUACGUAGGUGGCAAGCGUUGUCCGGAUUUAUUGGGCGUAAAGCGAGCGCAGGCGGAAGAAUAAGUCUGAUGUGAAAGCCCUCGGCUUAACCGAGGAAUUGCAUCGGAAACUGUUUUCUUGAGUGCAGAAGAGGAGAGUAGAACUCCAUGUGUAGCGGUGGAAUGCGUAGAUAUAUGGAAGAAUACCAGUGGCGAAGGCGGCUCUCUGGUCUGCAACUGACGCUGAGGCUCGAAAGCAUGGGUAGCGAACAGGAUUAGAUACCCUGGUAGUCCAUGCCGUAAACGAUGAGUGCUAAGUGUUGGGAGGCUUCCGCCUCUCAGUGCUGCAGCUAACGCAUUAAGCACUCCGCCUGGGGGAGUACGACUGCAAGGUUGAAAC
RNAcentral lists this ribosomal RNA (554 nucleotides) under uncultured bacterium. Its description in RNAcentral is "partial 16S ribosomal RNA". It matches the Rfam family "Bacterial small subunit ribosomal RNA", at positions 355 to 900 of the family's 1533-position model. The record is from RNAcentral.